Dreissena polymorpha is the source of this 1947-nucleotide long non-coding RNA. RefSeq lists it as uncharacterized. NCBI's taxonomy places the organism in Eukaryota, Metazoa, Mollusca, Bivalvia, Myida, Dreissenidae. The transcript is spliced from 3 exons. The record is from RefSeq and is a predicted model, not a curated record.
UGCUCGAAAAUGUUAAAGUUCUUAUUUCAUGGUAUAACUUUGGUAUGCUUGGACCUAGAGUCUUCAAACUUGACAUGAAGGUUGGCCAGGAUUAACAGAUGACCACUGGUCAUUUCAAGGUCAUUCAUUUGAAGGUCAAGUUCACUGUGACCUUGAAUGUAAAAAUGUUAAAGUUCUUAUUUCAUGGUAUAACUUUGGUAUGCUUGGACCUAGAGUCUUCAAACUUGACAUGAAGGUUGGCCAGGAUUAACAGAUGACCACUGGUCAUUUCAAGGUCAUUCAUUUGAAGGUGAAGGUCACUGUGACCUUCAAUAUAAAAAUGUUAAAGUUGUUAUAACUUUGGUAUGCUUGGACCUAGAGUCUUGAAACUUGACAUGAAGGUUGGCCAGAACUAGUAAGUAACCACUGGACAUUUCAAGGCCAUUCAUUUGAAGGUCAAGGUCACUGUGACCUUGAAUGUAAAAAUGUUAAAGUUGUUAUAACUUUGGUAUGCUUGGACCUAGAGUCUUGAAACUUGACAUGAAGGUUGGCCAGAACUAGUAAGUAACCACUGGACAUUUCAAGGUCAUUCAUUUGAAGGUCAAGGUCACUGUGACCUUGAAUGUAAAAAUGUUAAAGUUCUUAUUUCAUGUUAUAACUUUGGUAUGCUUGUACCUAGAGUCUUCAAACUUGAAAUAAAGAUUGGCCAGUACUAGAAGAUGACCACUGGUCAUUUCAAGGUCAUUCAUUUGAAGGUCAAGGUCACUGUGACCUUGAAUGUAAAAAUGUUAAAGUUCUUAUUUCAUGGUAUAACUUUGGUAUGCUUGGACCUAGAGUCUUCAAACUUGACAUGAAGGUUGGCCAGGAUUAACAGAUGACCACUGGUCAUUUCAAGGUCAUUCAUUUGAAGGUGAAGGUCACUGUGACCUUCAAUAUAAAAAUGUUAAAGUUGUUAUAACUUUGGUAUGCUUGGACCUAGAGUCUUGAAACUUGACAUGAAGGUUGGCCAGAACUAGUAAGUAACCACUGGACAUUUCAAGGUCAUUCAUUUGAAGGUCAAGGUCACUGUGACCUUGAAUGUAAAAAUGUUAAAGUUGUUAUAACUUUGGUAUGCUUGGACCUAGAGUCUUGAAACUUGACAUGAAGGUUGGCCAGAACUAGUAAGUAACCACUGGACAUUUCAAGGUCAUUCAUUUGAAGGUCAAGGUCACUGUGACCUUGAAUGUAAAAAUGUUAAAGUUCUUUUUUCAUGUUAUAACUUUGGUAUGCUUGUACCUAGAGUUUUCAAACUUGAAAUAAAGAUUGGCCAGUACUAGAAGAUGACCACUGGUCAUUUCAAUGUCAUUCAUUUGAAGGUCAAGGUCACUGUGACCUUAAAUGUUAAAAUGUUCAAAUUGUUAUAACUUUGGUAUGCUUGGACAUAGAGUCUUCAAACUUGACAUGAAGGUUUGCAAGCACACUUAGAUGACCACUGGUCAUUUCAAGGUCAUUCAUUCUAAGGUCAAGGUCACUGUGACCUUGAAUGUAAAAAUGUUAAAGUUCUUAUAACUUUGGUAGGUAAAAAUGUUAAAGUUCUUAUUCCAUGUUAUAACUUUGGUAUGCUUGUACCUAGAGUCUUCAAACUUGACAUAAAGGUUGGCCAGUACUAGAAGAUCACCACUGCUCAUUUCAAUGUCAUUCAUUUGAAGGUCAAGGUCACUGUGACCUUCAAUGUUAAAAUGUUAAAAUUGUUAUAACUUUGGUAUGCUUGGACCUAGAAUCUCAAACUUGACGUAAAGGUUUGCAAGCACACUUAGAUGACCACUGGUCAUUUCAAGGUCAUUCAUUUCAAUGUCAUUCAUUUGAAGGUCAAGGUCACUGUGAACUUAAAUGUUAAAAUGUUAAAAUUGUUGUAACUUUGGUACUUUCCUGUCAUUUAAAUCAAAAAUCCGGCUUCAAUGCGGUCAUCUCCGACCGCGGAACUCUUGU